GCUUGUCUCAAAGAUUAAGCCAUGCAUGUUCAAGUAUAGCAAGUGUACAGUGAAACUGCGAAUGGCUCAUUAAAUCAGUUAUAAUUUAUUUGAUAGUGAAAUUGUACAUGGAUAACCGUAGUAAUUCUAGAGCUAAUACAUGCAGGAAGACCCGACUCACGAAGGGUUGUAUUUAUUAGAUAAGAAACCUUCCCCUUUGGGUUGCGUGCCGAGUCACAAUAACUGCUCGAAUCGCAUGGCUUCACGCCGGCGAUGGUUCAUUCAAAUUUCUGCCCUAUCAGCUUUCGAUGGUAGGAUCGAGGCCUACCAUGGCGUUUACGGGUAACGGAGAAUUAGGGUUCGAUUCCGGAGAGGGAGCCUGAGAGAUGGCUACCACAUCCAAGGAAGGCAGCAGG
RNAcentral lists this ribosomal RNA (395 nucleotides) under Chrysochromulina parva. RNAcentral describes it as "partial small subunit ribosomal RNA". It matches the Rfam family "Eukaryotic small subunit ribosomal RNA", at positions 30 to 432 of the family's 1831-position model. The record is from RNAcentral. Lineage: Eukaryota; Haptophyta; Prymnesiales; Chrysochromulinaceae.